RNAcentral lists this ribosomal RNA (433 nucleotides) under uncultured bacterium. Its description in RNAcentral is "partial 16S ribosomal RNA". It matches the Rfam family "Bacterial small subunit ribosomal RNA", at positions 29 to 507 of the family's 1533-position model. The record is from RNAcentral.
AACGAACGCUGGCGGCAUGCCUAACACAUGCAAGUCGAACGAGACCUUCGGGUCUAGUGGCGCACGGGUGCGUAACGCGUGGGAAUCUGCCCUUGGGUUCGGAAUAACAGUUGGAAACGACUGCUAAUACCGGAUGAUGACGUAAGUCCAAAGAUUUAUCGCCCAAGGAUGAGCCCGCGUAGGAUUAGCUAGUUGGUGAGGUAAAGGCUCACCAAGGCGACGAUCCUUAGCUGGUCUGAGAGGAAGAUCAGCCACACUGGGACUGAGACACGGCCCAGACUCCUACGGGAGGCAGCAGUGGGGAAUAUUGGACAAUGGGCGAAAGCCUGAUCCAGCAAUGCCGCGUGAGUGAUGAAGGCCUUAGGGUUGUAAAGCUCUUUUACCCGGGAUGAUAAUGACAGUACCGGGAGAAUAAGCACCGGCUAACUCCGUG